AUUGAACGCUGGCGGCACGCCUAACACAUGCAAGUCGAGCGGCAGCGCGAUUAGUAGCAAUAAUAAUUGGCGGCGAGCGGCGGACGGGUGAGUAACACGUAGGAACCUGCCCAGAAGUGGGGGAUAACUAAUGGAAACGUUAGCUAAUACCGCAUACAUUCGGGAGAAGAAAGCUGCAGCAAUGUGGCGCUUUUGGAGGGGCCUGCGUCCGAUUAGCUAGUUGGUAAGGUAAUGGCUUACCAAGGCGAUGAUCGGUAACUGGUCUGAGAGGACGACCGGUCACACUGGGACUGAGACACGGCCCAGACUCCUACGGGAGGCAGCAGUGGGGAAUCUUGGACAAUGGGGGAAACCCUGAUCCAGCGAUGCCGCGUGAGUGAAGAAGGCCCUCGGGUCGUAAAGCUCUUUAGGCUGGGAAGAAGGUUGGUUGAGGAAAUGCGAUCGACUUGACGGUACCAGCAGAAUAAGCACCGGCAAACUCUGUGCCAGCCGCCGCGGUAA
This 501-nucleotide ribosomal RNA is filed under the name uncultured bacterium. RNAcentral describes it as "partial 16S ribosomal RNA". It matches the Rfam family "Bacterial small subunit ribosomal RNA", at positions 29 to 523 of the family's 1533-position model. The record is from RNAcentral.